Molecule: ribosomal RNA, 360 nt
Filed under: uncultured bacterium
Lineage: Bacteria
Description: bacterial SSU rRNA
Rfam family: Bacterial small subunit ribosomal RNA
Source: RNAcentral
CGAAAGUUACGCUAAUACCGCAUACGAUCUAUGGAUGAAAGCGGGGGAUCGCAAGACCUCGCGCGAUUGGAGCGGCCGAUAUCAGAUUAGGUAGUUGGUGAGGUAAAGGCUCACCAAGCCGACGAUCUGUAGCUGGUCUGAGAGGACGACCAGCCACACUGGGACUGAGACACGGCCCAGACUCCUACGGGAGGCAGCAGUGGAGAAUUUUGGACAAUGGGCGCAAGCCUGAUCCAGCAAUGCCGCGUGCAGGAUGAAGGCCUUCGGGUUGUAAACUGCUUUUGUACGGAACGAAACGGUGAGCUCUAAUACAGUUUGCUAAUGACGGUACCGUAAGAAUAAGCACCGGCUAACUACGUG